AAUCUUAUUAAGGGACUUCUUCCAGAAUUAUUGCCACUUCUCUAUGAUCAAACAGUUGUCAAGAAGGAAUUGAUACGAACUGUUGAUCUUGGGCCUUUCAAGCAUGUUGUGGAUGAUGGACUUGAGUUGAGGAAAGCAGCUUUUGAAUGUGUAGACACAUUGUUGGAUAGUUGUCUUGAUCAAGUAAAUCCAUCAUCUUUCAUUGUUCCAUACCUCAAAUCUGGUCUUGAUGAUCAUUAUGAUGUUAAAAUGCCUUGCCAUCUUAUCCUCUCCAAACUUGCAGAUAAAUGUCCUUCUGCUGUUUUGGCAGUUCUGGACUCUUUGGUUGAUCCACUCCAAAAAACCAUCAAUUUUAAGCCAAAGCAAGAUGCUGUCAAGCAAGAAGUAGAUCGUAAUGAAGACAUGAUUCGCAGUGCUCUUCGAGCAAUUGCUACCUUGAAUCGCUUCCACUUAUGCGAUUCUCAAAAGCCUUACGAAUGAAAUUUCAAAAUCUCCUGCACUCUGGGGCAAGUACUAUUCCAUCCGUAAUGAGUGAUGGGCAUGUUGAUUUUGAUACGGAGUGGUGGUAGUGAAAUUUUCGGUACGAGGGAACGAGAAAUAUUGAUGCUUUGAUCUUGUGCUGUACAAGGUCCUCUGGGAGGAAAAGAAACUGGAGAGACUAUAGCCCCAGUUACAGGUGUAUAAUGGGAGGGAUUAAGAAUGGUAAAUUUUUGGUUGAAGAAGCUCAUAAGGAUUACAUGACCAUUUCUUGUCAUGCAAAUGCAAAUGCAGGCCUUGGAUUUUUUUAUGUAUAGGAUCAAAUGCUGUCUCUUA
RNAcentral lists this unclassified non-coding RNA (813 nucleotides) under Hevea brasiliensis (rubber tree). Lineage: Eukaryota; Viridiplantae; Streptophyta; Magnoliopsida; Malpighiales; Euphorbiaceae. The record is from RNAcentral.